This 278-nucleotide ribosomal RNA is filed under the name uncultured bacterium. RNAcentral describes it as "partial 16S ribosomal RNA". It matches the Rfam family "Bacterial small subunit ribosomal RNA", at positions 524 to 794 of the family's 1533-position model. The record is from RNAcentral.
UACGUAGAGUGCAAGCGUUGUACCGGAAUUAUUGGGCGUAAAGGGUACGCAGGCGGAUAGUAAAGUCAAGCGUUGAAAGGUGUCGGCUUAACCGACAGACUGCGUUUGAAACUGAUUAUCUUGAGUGUAACGAGAGGAGAGUGGGAAUUCCGUAGUGUAGUGGUGAAAUACGUAGAUAUUAGGAAGAACACCAGUGGCGAAGGCGACUCUCUGGGUUAACACGUAGACGCUGAGGUACGAAAGCUGGGGGAGCAAACGGGAUUAGAUACCCGGGUAGU